GCAGGGUGGUGGUUGUGAAGGAUUAACACUAGGGUUAAGGGAAGGUGACUCCACUCCCAGUGUUUUAAGAAGAAAACUCCUUUCACUUUCAGAGAAUUGCGGGCUGGGAAUUCCUGCUGCCAAGGAUCUAAAAAGUGGAAUUACAUGCAUGGGGGAGCUGAAUUCUGAGCUUGAAAAGGAAGAGGCAAUGGAAUCAAUUUUUCGUUCAUUGCAACACU
This 218-nucleotide unclassified non-coding RNA is filed under the name Hevea brasiliensis (rubber tree). The record is from RNAcentral. Lineage: Eukaryota; Viridiplantae; Streptophyta; Magnoliopsida; Malpighiales; Euphorbiaceae.